This 327-nucleotide ribosomal RNA is filed under the name uncultured eukaryote. Its description in RNAcentral is "partial 18S ribosomal RNA". It matches the Rfam family "Eukaryotic small subunit ribosomal RNA", at positions 1470 to 1796 of the family's 1831-position model. The record is from RNAcentral.
CCCUUAGAUGUUCUGGGCCGCACGCGCGCUACACUGACGAAUGCAACGAGCUUAUAACCUUGGCCGAAAGGUCUGGGUAAUCUCCAAAUUUCGUCGUGAUGGGGAUAGAUUAUUGCAAUUAUUAAUCUUCAACGAGGAAUGCCUAGUAAGCGCAAGUCAUCAGCUUGCGUUGAUUACGUCCCUGCCCUUUGUACACACCGCCCGUCGCUCCUACCGAUUGAAUGGUCCGGUGAAGCGCUCGGACCGCGGCCUCUUGACGGGUCUCCGUCGAUUGGCUGUGGGAAGUUCGUUAAACCUUNUNAUUUAUNGGAAGGAGAANUCGUANCA